GCUGACACAUCCCGGCCAAUCUCCAGCAGACCCUCCCUCCAAGACCCUUCUACUUCCUGGACAGCAUCCAUGUUGAAGGCAGCUUCAACAUGGAUGCUGUCCAGGAGGUGGGAGGGUCUGGGAGGGAGCGUCUGCUGGAGAUUGGCCGGGAUGUGUCAG
Molecule: non-coding RNA, 159 nt
Organism: Pelobates cultripes (western spadefoot toad)
Lineage: Eukaryota; Metazoa; Chordata; Amphibia; Anura; Pelobatidae
Source: the annotation of a GenBank genome assembly